Molecule: ribosomal RNA, 407 nt
Filed under: uncultured bacterium
Lineage: Bacteria
Description: partial 16S ribosomal RNA
Rfam family: Bacterial small subunit ribosomal RNA
Source: RNAcentral
AUUGAACGCUGGCGGCAGGCCUAACACAUGCAAGUCGAACGGAGUGGCGGACGGGUGAGUAAUGUCUGGGAAACUGCCCGAUGGAGGGGGAUAACUACUGGAAACGGUAGCUAAUACCGCAUACUAUCAGAUGAGCCUAGGUCGGAUUAGCUAGUUGGUGGGGUAAAGGCCUACCAAGGCGACGAUCCGUAACUGGUCUGAGAGGAUGAUCAGUCACACUGGAACUGAGACACGGUGCAAACUCGUACGUGAGGCAGCAGUGGGGAAUAUUGGACAAGGGGCGCGAGCCUGAUCCGACCAUGCCGCGUGUGUGAAGAAGGUCUUCGGAUUGUAAAGCACUUUAAGUUGGGAAGCGUUACCAACAGAAUAAGCACCGGCUAACUUCGUGCCAGCCGCCGCGGUAAUAC